Long non-coding RNA from Helianthus annuus (common sunflower), 435 nucleotides. RefSeq lists it as uncharacterized. Lineage: Eukaryota; Viridiplantae; Streptophyta; Magnoliopsida; Asterales; Asteraceae. The record is from RefSeq and is a predicted model, not a curated record. The transcript has 3 exons.
GCAAAGUGUUUGGAUGCAUGACCUUACAUAGUCAAUAGUCAAUUUUGCGCGCGCCACCUCAGCAUAAUCCUACAUCUCGAACAGGUGGAUGGAUACAUGUAUACACAAUAUGACCAAUAUAGUGGACACAUUGUUCUUCAGAUGGUGAUUUCACCAAUGUAGCUGAUUUAACUUCGUCUAACAGCGAUUCAAGAUCGUUACACAUGUGAUGGAUAGAAAGGUGCACCCAUACACAUUUCGCAAUGAAGACCGGUACUUGCAUUUCAACUUCAGUCAAGACCCUUAUGUGGAAUUUGAUUACUGGAUAAACACGAUAGGAGUUGACGGGCUUUUUACCGAUUUUCCUGGUAGCCUCCACCAUUACCAGGAAUGGACCUCUUCACCUUCCGAUAAGCUCGUUGCCGACAAACUAUUGAAUGAAAUGGUUAUGUGAAA